Molecule: unclassified non-coding RNA, 313 nt
Filed under: Hevea brasiliensis (rubber tree)
Lineage: Eukaryota; Viridiplantae; Streptophyta; Magnoliopsida; Malpighiales; Euphorbiaceae
Source: RNAcentral
GAGCCUGCCAAGGCAACAAGCAAUCGCUGAUAUAACAAUAAUCACAGCAAGAACUAUAAAAACAGUACCAAAUGAUCCAUUUGAGUGGGAGUGGGAAGCUGGUGGUGGCUGCCCAGAAACGGUGUUGGGGUAAACCACAACAGGUUGUUGCUGUGGUUGUGUGGACAUUUUUUCUUGUUCUUCUUUUGGUUGGUUGGAGAAGAGAUGGAGGGGUUUGGAUUUAGUAUAUGAAUCUGGAGGUGUUGUUCUUUGAGUGCAGACUAAGGGAGACUAAUUAAGGUGGAUUCAAGUCACAAGCAAGAAAUUGCCCUGA